ACGAGUUUGACUCCGUGGCUACGAGGACACGCUGGCGGCAUGCCUAACACAUGCAAGUCGAACGGAGAAAAGGAGCUUGCUUCUUUCUAGUGGCGGACGGGUGAGUAACGCGUGAGCAACCUGCCUUGGCAUGGGGGAUAACGUUUGGAAACGGACGCUAAUACCGCAUAUCGCAUAGGGACCGCAUGAUUCUUAUGCAAAAGAUUUAUUGUGCUAAGAUGGGCUCGCGUCCCAUUAGAUAGUUGGUGAGGUAAACGGCCCACCAAGUCGACGAUGGGUAGCCGAACUGAGAGGUUGAACGGCCACAUUGGAACUGAGAUACGGCCCAGACUCCUACGGGAGGCAGCAGUGGGGAAUAUUGGGCAAUGGGCGCAAGCCUGACCCAGCAACGCCGCGUGAAGGAAGAAGGCUUUCGGGUUGUAAACUUCUUUUGUCGAGGAAGAGUAGAAGACUGUACUCGGCGAAUAAGCCACGGCUAACUACGUG
Molecule: ribosomal RNA, 486 nt
Filed under: uncultured bacterium
Lineage: Bacteria
Description: bacterial SSU rRNA
Rfam family: Bacterial small subunit ribosomal RNA
Source: RNAcentral